AUUGAACGCUGGCGGCAUGCCUUACACAUGCAAGUCGAACGGUAACAGGCCGCAAGGUGCUGACGAGUGGCGAACGGGUGAGUAAUACAUCGGAACGUGCCCGAUCGUGGGGGAUAACGCAGCGAAAGCUGUGCUAAUACCGCAUACGAACUACGGAUGAAAGCGGGGGAUCGCAAGACCUCGCGCGGACGGAGCGGCCGAUGGCAGAUUAGGUAGUUGGUGGGGUAAAGGCCUACCAAGCCGACGAUCUGUAGCUGGUCUGAGAGGACGACCAGCCACACUGGGACUGAGACACGGCCCAGACUCCUACGGGAGGCAGCAGUGGGGAAUUUUGGACAAUGGGCGCAAGCCUGAUCCAGCCAUGCCGCGUGCAGGAUGAAGGCCUUCGGGUUGUAAACUGCAUUUGUACGGAACGAAAAGGUUUCUUUUAAUACAGGGAACUGAUGACGGUACUGUAAGAAUAAGCACCGGCUAACUACGUGCCAGCAGCCGCCGUAA
This 498-nucleotide ribosomal RNA is filed under the name uncultured bacterium. RNAcentral's name for it is "partial 16S ribosomal RNA". It matches the Rfam family "Bacterial small subunit ribosomal RNA", at positions 29 to 523 of the family's 1533-position model. The record is from RNAcentral.